Molecule: ribosomal RNA, 215 nt
Filed under: uncultured bacterium
Lineage: Bacteria
Description: partial 16S ribosomal RNA
Rfam family: Bacterial small subunit ribosomal RNA
Source: RNAcentral
UCUCAGUUCAGAUUGCAGGCUGCAACCCGCCUGCAUGAAGUCGGAAUUGCUAGUAAUCGCGGAUCAGCAUGCCGCGGUGAAUACGUUCCCGGGCCUUGUACACACCGCCCGUCACACCAUGGGAGCCGGUAAUACCCGAAGUCAGUAGUCCAACCUCGUGAGGACGCUGCCGAAGGUAGGAUUGGCGACUGGGGUCGAAGUCGUAACAAGGUAGC